CGUAGGUGGCAAGCGUUGUUCGGAAUUAUUGGGCGUAAAGGGCGCGUAGGCGGCCCGCUAAGUCAGCUGUGAAAGCCCGGGGCUCAACCCCCGGAGGGUCGGCCGAUACUGCGGGGCUAGAGUGCAGAAGGGGCAACUGGAAUUCUCGGUGUAGCGGUGAAAUGCGUAGAUAUCGAGAGGAACACCUGCGGCGAAGGCGGGUUGCUGGGCUGACACUGACGCUGAAACGCGAAAGCUAGGGGAGCGAACGGGAUUAGAUACCCCGGUAGUCCUAGCCUUAAACGAUGAAUGCUUGGUGUCUGGGGUUUUAUAGUCCCCGGGUGCCGUCGCUAACGCUUUAAGCAUUCCGCCUGGGGAGUACGGUCGCAAGACUG
This 374-nucleotide ribosomal RNA is filed under the name uncultured organism. Its description in RNAcentral is "bacterial SSU rRNA". It matches the Rfam family "Bacterial small subunit ribosomal RNA", at positions 526 to 896 of the family's 1533-position model. The record is from RNAcentral.